AAGAGUUUGAUCAUGGCUCAGAUUGAACGCUGGCGGCAGGCCUAACACAUGCAAGUCGAACGGUAACAGGAAGCAGCUUGCUGCUUUGCUGACGAGUGGCGGACGGGUGAGUAAUGUCUGGGAAACUGCCUGAUGGAGGGGGAUAACUACUGGAAACGGUAGCUAAUACCGCAUAACGUCGCAAGACCAAAGAGGGGGACCUUCGGGCCUCUUGCCAUCGGAUGUGCCCAGAUGGGAUUAGCUAGUAGGUGGGGUAACGGCUCACCUAGGCGACGAUCCCUAGCUGGUCUGAGAGGAUGACCAGCCACACUGGAACUGAGACACGGUCCAGACUCCUACGGGAGGCAGCAGUGGGGAAUAUUGCACAAUGGGCGCAAGCCUGAUGCAGCCAUGCCGCGUGUAUGAAGAAGGCCUUCGGGUUGUAAAGUACUUUCAGCGGGGAGGAAGGGAGUAAAGUUAAUACCUUUGCUCAUUGACGUUACCCGCAGAAGAAGCACCGGCUAACUCCGUGCCAGCAGCCGCGGUAAUACGGAGGGUGCAAGCGUUAAUCGGAAUUACUGGGCGUAAAGCGCACGCAGGCGGUUUGUUAAGUCAGAUGUGAAAUCCCCGGGCUCAACCUGGGAACUGCAUCUGAUACUGG
Molecule: ribosomal RNA, 640 nt
Filed under: Escherichia coli
Lineage: Bacteria; Pseudomonadati; Pseudomonadota; Gammaproteobacteria; Enterobacterales; Enterobacteriaceae
Description: bacterial SSU rRNA
Rfam family: Bacterial small subunit ribosomal RNA
Source: RNAcentral